GGCCUCUCACUGUUGUGGCCUCUCCCGUUGCGGAGCACAGGCUCCGGACGUGCAGGCUCAGCGGCCAUGGCUCACGGGUCCAGCCCGCUCUGUGGCAUGUGGGAUCCUCCCGGACCGGGGCACGAACCCACGUCCCCUGCAUCGGCAAGCAGACUCUCAACGACUGCGCCACCAGGGAAGCCCAGAUCUUUAUUUUUUUAAGUCAGCAGUCUUGGCAACCAAUGAAGGAGCCCAGAGCAGACUUUUCUUCUUUGCCUGAACUCUAUGAGGAUCCAGAGUCCUGGCACUAGCAGAGGCUUCUUGGGCCUGUCCGCUUUCUCAGAGAGUCCAGACGAAUUUGGUUCCAGAAAUGACGUCUGCUGAAGGAGAACAUGUUCUAGCAAUGAAAUCUUCAAAAGACUCCUGCCGCUGCUCUGUGACUGGGACCCCCAGGUUGUCUUUGGAAGUUUCUAAGGCCUCCUGAGUAGACGCUGGGACACGGAAGGAGUCGAGAGGCAAAGGAAUCCUAGCAUCACCUGUAAUUUUCGGAAAGUGGAGGGGAAGACAAAAGACAAGACAAAAAUUCAGUGAUGAA
Mesoplodon densirostris (Blainville's beaked whale) is the source of this 574-nucleotide long non-coding RNA. RefSeq lists it as uncharacterized. Lineage: Eukaryota; Metazoa; Chordata; Mammalia; Artiodactyla; Ziphiidae. The record is from RefSeq and is a predicted model, not a curated record. The transcript has 3 exons.